GGUGCAUUCCUAACUCCCUUGCACUAAGGCUGACUGAGGCUGUGGGAAGACAUAUAACUCUUGUGCUCUUUUUCUUUCUUAAAAGUCCUGUGGUGUUGCAUUCAGGUACUUUGUCCUGGUUCUACCUGUAUGGGAUCUGAGUCUGGGAAAAUCCCUGGAUCUAUCUGCUGGUCUAGGCCCUAUAAAGGCAGCUGUGUCCUGAGUAUGAAAGGCUAGCAUGCAGAGGGAUACGUUUAACGUGGAGUGUAGGAGCUGGCAAGCUGGAGUGAGAAUGCCGCAUCUGGGAGAAGUCAGCGGAGGAUCGCAGCCCUGGGACUAUUAGUUGCAAAGGAAGGAUUUGAAUCUCAGCCCCGAUCAAACGGGUUCAGAGACCGCUGAAGUGCGGCUCUUGAGUCUGGGGAUGUAGUGUAACCUUUUCUGCCAAUCAGAAUGCGAUGAGGACAACACCCUAACUGGCAAGCACCUGUUGCACCGAAGAGCAACUUCAAGGAGACAGGCACUCUGUAUCACAUUUUAGAACUGCCAAUCCCUACAAUGCUAUUUUGAUUUCUUUCUAAAAGAAAGCUUAAUCAGUUUCUUUGAUGGAAUCCCAAAGAUUCUGCACCGUUACAGAGAAUGAGGAUGCCCAGCCUCCAGAUGAACUGCUUUGUCACUAGUUCUGUAGAACAGUUAAAUACUGUAUGCAUGCCUAUGCCUUGAGAUAAUAAAUAAAUGCAUACGACCAUAAAUACA
This is a long non-coding RNA of Polyodon spathula (Mississippi paddlefish), 732 nucleotides long. RefSeq lists it as uncharacterized. NCBI's taxonomy places the organism in Eukaryota, Metazoa, Chordata, Actinopteri, Acipenseriformes, Polyodontidae. The transcript is spliced from 3 exons. The record is from RefSeq and is a predicted model, not a curated record.